AUUCCAGCUCCAAUAGCGUAUAUUAAAGUUGUUGCAGUUAAAAAGCUCGUAGUUGGAUUUGUGGUGUGGGCUGAUUGUCAUUUUUGACGAUUGGGCUGUGCCAUCUUUGGGUGGAAUCUGUUUGGCAUUAGGUUGUUAGGCAGAGGAUGCCUAUCAUUUACUGUGAAAAAAUCAAAGCGUUCAAAGCAGGCUUAUGCCGUUGAAUGUAUUAGCAUGGAAUAAUACGAUAGGACUUUGGUACUAUUUUGUUGGUUUGUGCAUCAGAGUGAUGAUUAAUAGGGACAAUUGGGGGUAUUUGUAUUCCAUUGUCAGAGGUGAAAUUCUUGGAUUUUUGGAAGACAAACUAGUGCGAAAGCAUUUACCAAGGAUGUUUUCAUUAAUCAAGAACGAAAGUUAGGGGAUCGAAGAUGAUUAGAUACCAUCGU
RNAcentral lists this ribosomal RNA (425 nucleotides) under Cymbopleura sp. Its description in RNAcentral is "bacterial SSU rRNA". It matches the Rfam family "Eukaryotic small subunit ribosomal RNA", at positions 582 to 1021 of the family's 1831-position model. Lineage: Eukaryota; Bacillariophyta; Bacillariophyceae; Cymbellales; Cymbellaceae. The record is from RNAcentral.